This 244-nucleotide ribosomal RNA is filed under the name uncultured bacterium. RNAcentral's name for it is "partial 16S ribosomal RNA". It matches the Rfam family "Bacterial small subunit ribosomal RNA", at positions 528 to 772 of the family's 1533-position model. The record is from RNAcentral.
UAGGGGGCGAGCGUUAUCCGGAUUUAUUGGGCGUAAAGGGUGCGUAGGCGGUUUAUUAAGUUUAAGAUAAAAGCCCGGAGCUUAACUCCGGUUCGUCUUAAAAACUGGUAGACUUGAGUAUAGUAGAGCCAAGUGGAAUUUCUAGUGUAGCGGUUAAAUGCGUAGAUAUUAGAAGGAACACCAGUGGCGAAGGCGACUUGCUGGGCUAUUACUGACGCUGAGGCACGAAAGCGUGGGGAGCAAA